Molecule: long non-coding RNA, 273 nt
Filed under: Musa acuminata (dwarf banana)
Lineage: Eukaryota; Viridiplantae; Streptophyta; Magnoliopsida; Zingiberales; Musaceae
Description: long non-coding RNA (MACU_LNC004718)
Source: RNAcentral
AAGGUUUGCCGUACCGGACUGUACCGCCCGGUACGGGCGGUACGUACCGGUCCGACAGGCCAGCGGUACGCGGACCGCCCCGUACCGUACCGAGUACUGUAGCAGUGUACAGUGACACUGUAGCAGUGUACAGUAGACUGUAGCAGUGUACAGUGCUCGGUACACGUGAGUGUACCGCUCGGUACACCUGGGUGUACCGAGCGGUAUACCGUACCGUACCGGUACCGAGCCUGGGUCGAAACGCCGGUACGGUACGGUACGGCGAACCUUGAU